Molecule: ribosomal RNA, 291 nt
Filed under: Triticum aestivum (bread wheat)
Lineage: Eukaryota; Viridiplantae; Streptophyta; Magnoliopsida; Poales; Poaceae
Description: partial small subunit ribosomal RNA
Source: RNAcentral
AUGGCAUCCGGCGUCAACGAAUGGUUGAACGGCGUAGAGGAGGUCGAAGGGAGUUCUGUAGACAAGUUCCCGGACACGUCCUCGUUCUGUGGCGGUGGUGGAAGGCCGCCGGACUUGGCGGAGCUCCGGAUGGACGCGACGCUCGCGGACAUCGCGCUCCAGAACGGCAGCAGCGAGUUAGUUACUCCGCGAGCAGUUCCGCGAGAGAGAGUGAGGCAGGAGUGCCCAUAUGAUCAUAUGAUGGGGCUUCGGACGAGGGGAAACUGGGCGUCACGGGGGCGGGUUUUAUAG